UGCUCUGUAUUUCAGUUGUCCAUGUCUC
This 28-nucleotide non-coding RNA is filed under the name Mus musculus (house mouse). Lineage: Eukaryota; Metazoa; Chordata; Mammalia; Rodentia; Muridae. The record is from RNAcentral.